UAAUACGGAGGGUGCGAGCGUUGUUCGGAAUUAUUGGGCGUAAAGAGCGUGUAGGCGGGUUGGUAAGUCAGAUGUGAAAGCCCCGGGCUCAACCCGGGAAGUGCAUUUGAAACUGCCUUUCUUGAGUAUGGGAGAGGAGAGUGGAAUUCCCAGUGUAGAGGUGAAAUUCGUAGAUAUUGGGAGGAACACCCGUGGCGAAGGCGACUCUCUGGACCAAUACUGACGCUGAGACGCGAAAGCGUGGGGAGCAAACAGGAUUAGAUACCCUGGUAGUCCACGCCGUAAACGAUGAGAACUAGGUGUAGCGGGUAUUGACCCCUGCUGUGCCGGAGCUAACGCAUUAAGUUCUCCGCCUGGGGAGUACGGCCGCAAGGCUA
Molecule: ribosomal RNA, 377 nt
Filed under: uncultured delta proteobacterium
Lineage: Bacteria; Deltaproteobacteria
Description: bacterial SSU rRNA
Rfam family: Bacterial small subunit ribosomal RNA
Source: RNAcentral